GAUGAACGCUAGCUACAGGCUUAACACAUGCAAGUCGAGGGGAAACGAUAUUGGAAGCUUGCUUCUGAUAGGCGUCGACCGGCGCACGGGUGAGUAACGCGUAUCCAACCUGCCCAUCACUUGGGGAUAACCUUGCGAAAGUAAGACUAAUACCCAAUGACGUCUCUAGAAGACAUCUGAAAGAGAUUAAAGAUUUAUCGGUGAUGGAUGGGGAUGCGUCUGAUUAGCUUGUUGGCGGGGUAAUGGCCCACCAAGGCGACGAUCGGUAGCCGGACUGAGAGGUUGAACGGCCACAUUGGGACUGAGACACGGCCCAGACUCCUACGGGAGGCAGCAGUGGGGAAUAUUGCACAAUGGGGGAAACCCUGAUGCAGCGACGCCGCGUAGAGGAAGAAGGUCUUCGGAUUGUAAACUCCUGUUGUUGAGGAAGAUAAUGACGGUACUCAACAAGGAAGUGACGGCUAACUACGUG
This 472-nucleotide ribosomal RNA is filed under the name uncultured bacterium. RNAcentral describes it as "bacterial SSU rRNA". It matches the Rfam family "Bacterial small subunit ribosomal RNA", at positions 28 to 507 of the family's 1533-position model. The record is from RNAcentral.